GGGACUUCGCCCAACACCGUGCCGUCCUCCUAUUUCUGCAGCUUCACUCUAUCUCUCUAACUCUCAAAUUCUCUCUCUCUAAGUUCCGAGAGCUUCUUGCCUUCUUCCUCUUCGAGUUCUUGACACAUCCAACCCCAAAAUCUUAUAUUUGGAAUCUCUGAGACUCAAGGUUUUAGCCCCUGCAUUUUCUCUGUACCCUUGCCCAGUUUCUUGUGGUCUUCUCUGGGCAAACUCCGACGAGUUUGUGGCUUGUAGCCCUCGAGUCUAGCUUGAACCAAUCCUAGGAUGUAGCGUGAAUAAGGAGAACCCCAGAGGUGACAAGCGGGCUUGGCACUGAGGCAUCCAUCCUCUGGACUUUGGAUGAUGAUAUUCGCAAUUGUAGACAUCUCAUUAGUGCUAGGAGGGGAAGAACAAGAAAAACGCAGUUUAAAAUCCUACACAAAAACCUGUUCAUGCUCCCCACGACACCACCAUAAUCCCUUCCCAUCUCUCAUCUUAUUGCUUUCGUUUCUUUUUCUUCUAAAUGUAGUACUAAGAUGGGAAAACUGUACUUUUAUGCCCCAACUGUGAGCAAUUAACUCUGGCUGUUUUGAGCCCCCAUUACUUCCUCGUCUCGGACAAUUCAUCAAUGAUCUGAGCUUCAGUUUGUAAUUCAUCGCUGCUGUUUAUGUUAUUGUUACCAAUAGUAAUAGUAUUC
Non-coding RNA from Malus domestica (apple), 697 nucleotides. NCBI's taxonomy places the organism in Eukaryota, Viridiplantae, Streptophyta, Magnoliopsida, Rosales, Rosaceae. The record is from RefSeq and is a predicted model, not a curated record.